GGCUCACUUCAAGAGCAGGUGAAGCAAGUUGGGACAAUGUUGAAGACAUUUCCUCGCACUGGGCAAUCGGGUGCAGAUCAAACCCUAAUGCUGCGACGUCUUGGAAUUUGGCGAUGUUGUGCGUAGCAUGGACAACAAAAUGCUAUGCUGCAACAUUUCAGUGCCAAUGUGUCUGUUGGAGAGUUAUCCCUGCCAGGGGAUCUGUUACUCCCCCCUAGACACCCAGGAAGAUUUGGCGUUGCUUGACAACAGUUUGAGGCAGGAUAAAGAGCUCCAGUAACAAUUUCUUCGGUUUUUGGCAAUCAAAUGUGGGAGGGACCUAAAGACAACCGUGUGGCGAAUGCUUCAGAGUAUCUUCUCUAAUCACCUUUCCAUCAAUACAACCUGGACUGGUGUAGGGGAUAAAGCAUGUUUUAGAGACAUG
Long non-coding RNA from Xyrauchen texanus (razorback sucker), 424 nucleotides. RefSeq lists it as uncharacterized. The record is from RefSeq and is a predicted model, not a curated record. NCBI's taxonomy places the organism in Eukaryota, Metazoa, Chordata, Actinopteri, Cypriniformes, Catostomidae. The transcript has 3 exons.